UACGGGGGGAACAAGCGUUGUUCGGAUUUACUGGGCGUAAAGGGCGCGUAGGCGGUCAGCACAAGUCAAUUGUGAAAUCUCCGAGCUUAACUCGGAAAGGUCAACUGAAACUGUGCGACUAGAGUGCGGAAGGGGCAACUGGAAUUCUUGGUGUAGCGGUGAAAUGCGUAGAUAUCAAGAGGAACACCUGCGGCGAAGGCGGGUUGCUGGGCCGACACUGACGCUGAAGCGCGAAAGCCAGGGGAGCGAACGGG
Molecule: ribosomal RNA, 254 nt
Filed under: uncultured bacterium
Lineage: Bacteria
Description: partial 16S ribosomal RNA
Rfam family: Bacterial small subunit ribosomal RNA
Source: RNAcentral